CGCACCGCCCGUCACACCAUGGGAGUUUGUUGCACCAGAAGCAGGUAGCUUAACCUUCGGGAGGGCGCUUGCCACGGUGUGGCCGAUGACUGGGGUG
Molecule: ribosomal RNA, 97 nt
Filed under: uncultured bacterium
Lineage: Bacteria
Description: partial 16S ribosomal RNA
Rfam family: Bacterial small subunit ribosomal RNA
Source: RNAcentral